Molecule: ribosomal RNA, 345 nt
Filed under: uncultured bacterium
Lineage: Bacteria
Description: bacterial SSU rRNA
Rfam family: Bacterial small subunit ribosomal RNA
Source: RNAcentral
CUAGCGACUUCAGAGUUUGAUCCUGGCUCAGGAUGAACGCUAGCGGCAGGCUUAACACAUGCAAGUCGAGGGGCAGCAUAAGUGUUAGCAAUAACACUUGAUGGCGACCGGCGCAAGGGUGCGUAACGCGUGAGCAACUUGCCCUUAUCAGGGGGAUAACCAAUGGAAACGUUGACUAAUACCCCAUAGUAUAGCUUUGAGGCAUCUCUUAGUUAUUAAAGAAUUUCGGAUAAGGAUAGGCUCGCGUGACAUUAGCUAGAUGGCGGGGUAACGGCCCACCAUGGCGACGAUGUCUAGGGGUUCUGAGAGGAAGGUCCCCCACACUGGAACUGAGACACGGUCCAG